UGGAUCCAGACUUUGAUCAUGGCUCAGGAUGAACGCUAGCUACAGGCUUAACACAUGCAAGUCGAGGGGCAGCGGGAUUGAAGCUUGCUUCAAUUGCCGGCGACCGGCGCACGGGUGAGUAACGCGUAUCCAACCUUCCGUACACUCAGGGAUAGCCUUUCGAAAGAAAGAUUAAUACCUGAUGGUAUGAUGAGAUUGCAUGAUAGCAUCAUUAAAGAUUUAUCGGUGUACGAUGGGGAUGCGUUCCAUUAGGUAGUAGGCGGGGUAACGGCCCACCUAGCCAACGAUGGAUAGGGGUUCUGAGAGGAAGGUCCCCCACAUUGGAACUGAGACACGGUCCAAACUCCUACGGGAGGCAGCAGUGAGGAAUAUUGGUCAAUGGACGAGAGUCUGAACCAGCCAAGUAGCGUGAAGGAUGAAGGUCCUACGGAUUGUAAACUUCUUUUAUAAGGGAAUAAACCCUCCCACGUGUGGGAGCUUGUAUGUACCUUAUGAAUAAGCAUCGGCUAACUCCGUGCCAGCAGCCGCGGUAAUACGGAGGAUGCGAGCGUUAUCCGGAUUUAUUGGGUUUAAAGGGAGCGCAGACGGGUCGUUAAGUCAGCUGUGAAAGUUUGGGGCUCAACCUUAAAAUUGCAGUUGAUACUGGCGUCCUUGAGUGCGGUUGAGGUGUGCGGAAUUCGUGGUGUAGCGGUGAAAUGCUUAGAUAUCACGAAGAACUCCGAUUGCGAAGGCAGCACACUAAUCCGUAACUGACGUUCAUGCUCGAAAGUGUGGGUAUCAAACAGGAUUAGAUACCCUGGUAGUCCACACGGUAAACGAUGGAUACUCGCUGUUGGCGAUAUACUGUCAGCGGCUUAGCGAAAGCGUUAAGUAUCCCACCUGGGGAGUACGCCGGCAACGGUGCAACUCAAAGGAAUUGACGGA
This 924-nucleotide ribosomal RNA is filed under the name uncultured bacterium. RNAcentral describes it as "bacterial SSU rRNA". It matches the Rfam family "Bacterial small subunit ribosomal RNA", at positions 1 to 917 of the family's 1533-position model. RNAcentral also lists the same sequence under 1 other name. The record is from RNAcentral.